CGUGAGCAACCUGCCCCUGACUCUGGGAUAAGCGCUGGAAACGGCGUCUAAUACUGGAUAUGUCCCGUCACCGCAUGGUGUGCGGGUGGAAAGAUUUUUCGGUUGGGGAUGGGCUCGCGGCCUAUCAGCUUGUUGGUGAGGUAAUGGCUCACCAAGGCGUCGACGGGUAGCCGGCCUGAGAGGGUGACCGGCCACACUGGGACUGAGACACGGCCCAGACUCCUACGGGAGGCAGCAGUGGGGAAUAUUGCACAAUGGGCGGAAGCCUGAUGCAGCAACGCCGCGUGAGGGAUGACGGCCUUCGGGUUGUAAACCUCUUUUAGCAAGGGAAGAAGCGAGAGUGACGGUACCUGCAGAAAAAGCACCGGCUAACUACGUGCCAGCAGCCGCGGUAAUACGUAGGGUGCAAGCGUUAUCCGGAAUUAUUGGGCGUAAAGAGCUCGUAGGCGGUCUGUCGCGUCUGCUGUGAAAUCCCGAGGCUCAACCUCGGGCUUGCAGUGGGUACGGGCAGACUAGAGUGCGGUAGGGGAGAUUGGAAUUCCUGGUGUAGCGGUGGAAUGCGCAGAUAUCAGGAGGAACACCGAUGGCGAAGGCAGAUCUCUGGGCCGUAACUGACGCUGAGGAGCGAAAGGGUGGGGAGCAAACAGGCUUAGAUACCCUGGUAGUCCACCCCGUAAACGUUGGGAACUAGUUGUGGGGUCCUUUCCACGGAUUCCGUGACGCAGCUAACGCAUUAAGUUCCCCGCCUGGGGAGUACGGCCGCAAGGCU
RNAcentral lists this ribosomal RNA (769 nucleotides) under Microbacterium esteraromaticum. RNAcentral's name for it is "bacterial SSU rRNA". It matches the Rfam family "Bacterial small subunit ribosomal RNA", at positions 116 to 895 of the family's 1533-position model. The record is from RNAcentral. Lineage: Bacteria; Bacillati; Actinomycetota; Actinomycetes; Micrococcales; Microbacteriaceae.